UACGAAGGGGGCUAGCGUUGCUCGGAAUUACUGGGCGUAAAGAGCUCGUAGGCGGCCUGUUGCGUCCGCUGUGAAAGCCCGGGGCUUAACCCCGGGUCGGCAGUGGAUACGGGCAGGCUAGAGGUAGGUAGGGGAGAAUGGAAUUCCCGGUGUAGCGGUGAAAUGCGCAGAUAUCGGGAGGAACACCAGUGGCGAAGGCGGCGAUCUGGGAAGAUACUGACGCUGAGGUGCGAAAGCGUGGGGAGCAAACAGG
Molecule: ribosomal RNA, 253 nt
Filed under: uncultured bacterium
Lineage: Bacteria
Description: partial 16S ribosomal RNA
Rfam family: Bacterial small subunit ribosomal RNA
Source: RNAcentral